RNAcentral lists this ribosomal RNA (2921 nucleotides) under Staphylococcus aureus DAR3143. RNAcentral's name for it is "bacterial LSU rRNA". It matches the Rfam family "Bacterial large subunit ribosomal RNA". Lineage: Bacteria; Bacillati; Bacillota; Bacilli; Caryophanales; Staphylococcaceae. The record is from RNAcentral.
UUAAGUUAUUAAGGGCGCACGGUGGAUGCCUUGGCACUAGAAGCCGAUGAAGGACGUUACUAACGACGAUAUGCUUUGGGGAGCUGUAAGUAAGCUUUGAUCCAGAGAUUUCCGAAUGGGGAAACCCAGCAUGAGUUAUGUCAUGUUAUCGAUAUGUGAAUACAUAGCAUAUCAGAAGGCACACCCGGAGAACUGAAACAUCUUAGUACCCGGAGGAAGAGAAAGAAAAUUCGAUUCCCUUAGUAGCGGCGAGCGAAACGGGAAGAGCCCAAACCAACAAGCUUGCUUGUUGGGGUUGUAGGACACUCUAUACGGAGUUACAAAGGACGACAUUAGACGAAUCAUCUGGAAAGAUGAAUCAAAGAAGGUAAUAAUCCUGUAGUCGAAAAUGUUGUCUCUCUUGAGUGGAUCCUGAGUACGACGGAGCACGUGAAAUUCCGUCGGAAUCUGGGAGGACCAUCUCCUAAGGCUAAAUACUCUCUAGUGACCGAUAGUGAACCAGUACCGUGAGGGAAAGGUGAAAAGCACCCCGGAAGGGGAGUGAAAUAGAACCUGAAACCGUGUGCUUACAAGUAGUCAGAGCCCGUUAAUGGGUGAUGGCGUGCCUUUUGUAGAAUGAACCGGCGAGUUACGAUUUGAUGCAAGGUUAAGCAGUAAAUGUGGAGCCGUAGCGAAAGCGAGUCUGAAUAGGGCGUUUAGUAUUUGGUCGUAGACCCGAAACCAGGUGAUCUACCCUUGGUCAGGUUGAAGUUCAGGUAACACUGAAUGGAGGACCGAACCGACUUACGUUGAAAAGUGAGCGGAUGAACUGAGGGUAGCGGAGAAAUUCCAAUCGAACCUGGAGAUAGCUGGUUCUCUCCGAAAUAGCUUUAGGGAUAGCCUCAAGUGAUGAUUAUUGGAGGUAGAGCACUGUUUGGACGAGGGGCCCCUCUCGGGUUACCGAAUUCAGACAAACUCCGAAUGCCAAUUAAUUUAACUUGGGAGUCAGAACAUGGGUGAUAAGGUCCGUGUUCGAAAGGGAAACAGCCCAGACCACCAGCUAAGGUCCCAAAAUAUAUGUUAAGUGGAAAAGGAUGUGGCGUUGCCCAGACAACUAGGAUGUUGGCUUAGAAGCAGCCAUCAUUUAAAGAGUGCGUAAUAGCUCACUAGUCGAGUGACACUGCGCCGAAAAUGUACCGGGGCUAAACAUAUUACCGAAGCUGUGGAUUGUCCUUUGGACAAUGGUAGGAGAGCGUUCUAAGGGCGUUGAAGCAUGAUCGUAAGGACAUGUGGAGCGCUUAGAAGUGAGAAUGCCGGUGUGAGUAGCGAAAGACGGGUGAGAAUCCCGUCCACCGAUUGACUAAGGUUUCCAGAGGAAGGCUCGUCCGCUCUGGGUUAGUCGGGUCCUAAGCUGAGGCCGACAGGCGUAGGCGAUGGAUAACAGGUUGAUAUUCCUGUACCACCUAUAAUCGUUUUAAUCGAUGGGGGGACGCAGUAGGAUAGGCGAAGCGUGCGAUUGGAUUGCACGUCUAAGCAGUAAGGCUGAGUAUUAGGCAAAUCCGGUACUCGUUAAGGCUGAGCUGUGAUGGGGAGAAGACAUUGUGUCUUCGAGUCGUUGAUUUCACACUGCCGAGAAAAGCCUCUAGAUAGAAAAUAGGUGCCCGUACCGCAAACCGACACAGGUAGUCAAGAUGAGAAUUCUAAGGUGAGCGAGCGAACUCUCGUUAAGGAACUCGGCAAAAUGACCCCGUAACUUCGGGAGAAGGGGUGCUCUUUAGGGUUAACGCCCAGAAGAGCCGCAGUGAAUAGGCCCAAGCGACUGUUUAUCAAAAACACAGGUCUCUGCUAAACCGUAAGGUGAUGUAUAGGGGCUGACGCCUGCCCGGUGCUGGAAGGUUAAGAGGAGUGGUUAGCUUCUGCGAAGCUACGAAUCGAAGCCCCAGUAAACGGCGGCCGUAACUAUAACGGUCCUAAGGUAGCGAAAUUCCUUGUCGGGUAAGUUCCGACCCGCACGAAAGGCGUAACGAUUUGGGCACUGUCUCAACGAGAGACUCGGUGAAAUCAUAGUACCUGUGAAGAUGCAGGUUACCCGCGACAGGACGGAAAGACCCCGUGGAGCUUUACUGUAGCCUGAUAUUGAAAUUCGGCACAGCUUGUACAGGAUAGGUAGGAGCCUUUGAAACGUGAGCGCUAGCUUACGUGGAGGCGCUGGUGGGAUACUACCCUAGCUGUGUUGGCUUUCUAACCCGCACCACUUAUCGUGGUGGGAGACAGUGUCAGGCGGGCAGUUUGACUGGGGCGGUCGCCUCCUAAAAGGUAACGGAGGCGCUCAAAGGUUCCCUCAGAAUGGUUGGAAAUCAUUCAUAGAGUGUAAAGGCAUAAGGGAGCUUGACUGCGAGACCUACAAGUCGAGCAGGGUCGAAAGACGGACUUAGUGAUCCGGUGGUUCCGCAUGGAAGGGCCAUCGCUCAACGGAUAAAAGCUACCCCGGGGAUAACAGGCUUAUCUCCCCCAAGAGUUCACAUCGACGGGGAGGUUUGGCACCUCGAUGUCGGCUCAUCGCAUCCUGGGGCUGUAGUCGGUCCCAAGGGUUGGGCUGUUCGCCCAUUAAAGCGGUACGCGAGCUGGGUUCAGAACGUCGUGAGACAGUUCGGUCCCUAUCCGUCGUGGGCGUAGGAAAUUUGAGAGGAGCUGUCCUUAGUACGAGAGGACCGGGAUGGACAUACCUCUGGUGUACCAGUUGUCGUGCCAACGGCAUAGCUGGGUAGCUAUGUGUGGACGGGAUAAGUGCUGAAAGCAUCUAAGCAUGAAGCCCCCCUCAAGAUGAGAUUUCCCAACUUCGGUUAUAAGAUCCCUCAAAGAUGAUGAGGUUAAUAGGUUCGAGGUGGAAGCAUGGUGACAUGUGGAGCUGACGAAUACUAAUCGAUCGAAGACUUAAUCAA